RNAcentral lists this long non-coding RNA (391 nucleotides) under Salvia miltiorrhiza (redroot sage). Its description in RNAcentral is "long non-coding RNA (SMIL_LNC003832)". Lineage: Eukaryota; Viridiplantae; Streptophyta; Magnoliopsida; Lamiales; Lamiaceae. The record is from RNAcentral.
UCAAAUCUGCCGAAUUUUAGUGAUUAAGCUCAUGGUUGUUAAGGAAUUUUAUAAGUUUGUUGAAAAGUAUGUGGUGUGGCUGCUGAAAUAGAAAUUUUAUUGAAGAAAAACAAAAACCCUUGAGAGCACAGGCGCAAACAAGGAACGACCGGAAAAACCAAAACCAGAAAAAGACAAAAAAAACCCAAGCGAAAAGAGAAAGAAAACAACAAGAACGAACUAAAGACGGGACCGCAAAGGGUCACAACCGAGGCCGAGCAAAGUCCACGCCAGAGCCGUCCCGGGUAGAGCACAAAAGCACCAGAACGAGCGCCAGAGAAAUCAAGCGCCAGAGGAAUCAAGCGCCAGAGGGAUCAAGCGCCAGAGAGAUCAAGCGCCAGAGAGAUCAAGC